Non-coding RNA from Pelodiscus sinensis (Chinese soft-shelled turtle), 2349 nucleotides. Lineage: Eukaryota; Metazoa; Chordata; Testudines; Trionychidae. The record is from RefSeq and is a predicted model, not a curated record.
GUUAUAAAAGGGCUGUUAAUACCCCCAAAAUAAGGGGGUUGUUGGAGGGCUGGGGGAGGGGGUUUCAUAUCGUAAUUCACUCCCACUGCCUGCGUUUGCUUGCUGAGGAAGUCUGAUACGAUGUUGUGAACAAGGCUGGGGAGAUUGUAAAAGGCAGCCUACAUCGAGGCAGGGCUACGUCGGCCAGUAAAAGGCUCCUUUGUGCAAAGCCUUGACUGGGAAGGGCUGGCGCGGCCAUGCCCAGCUGAUCAGCCAGAUGUGCAGGUGGCGGAAAGAUCACGCUGUCAUUAAAGGCACAUCCCCUCCUUUUGUGCCGGUGCCAGGAAGAGAGAGACAGACAGACACUCCUAGGGGCUGGGGGAGCUCACUGGCGCUCCAGAUGAAGCCGAUCGCUCGCCAAGGUGUCGCUAUCAGUCCCAUCUUCCAAGGGGAAAGGGGCUGAUCCGUUGUCCCGGCCCCCCCUCCCCCGACAGCGCCGACGGACUCGCUGUGCCAUUCUUGCUGCCAUUUUUCCCAGCUGGCAAGCACCAGGGAUGAAGACCCGGGGAUGUUUGUGACAACUGCGGGCUUAACGAAGCCCUCUCGGGGCCCGGGGAAGGGAGAGCUCGGCAGGUGUGUGCUUCCCUCUUUGCAGUGACAGUUUCUCCGGUUAUCAGAGAACUACAUGCAAGCCCAGGCUGCGGUCCUAAUUUGCAAAGUAUCCCGUCCUCCAGGAGAACAUGAUGCAGCGUUGACUCCAGCGAUCGGCGCCGCACCCUAAGGGUUAAAUAUGAUGUAAGUACAAAAAUAUUUAGAAGUCGAUUUAUUAUGUACUUAUUGCUGAUACUUUGCCUUCAUUACAGUGGCAAAAGAAAUAGUGGGGAAUAUGACGACUUGUUUUGCAAAUUGAAACCCCAGGUUUCAGACCCCGCUAUUCUUCCUUCACAUGCCAAUAUAAUAAGCAGACCAAGAGGAUAUUUGUGUUGUGCUUCUGCAACUGAGAUUAUAGCAGUAGGGGAACAGUUAAGGCAUGACGCAUACCUUUUGGAAAAUAAACCACAGGUUGUUUAAAAUGCAGUAAUGCUUCUUGCAUGUGUUUGACUUUUUCCCCAGUUACACGCUCAUUAAAUUUCUCUUUUUUGUUGGGUCACUGCUUGUUUUGCCAUUUGUUUUCCUUUUUGGGGGAAAAGAAAGCGAGAAGGAAAGGUCCGAGGCUUUAAAAAAAUCUUGACUUAUUUUCCUUUUUUACAUUUUCAACUCACUACUAUGAUCCUCGUUUAGAUGAUCUUUGGUGGGUUAUAAAAUUAAAUGUACACCUCAAAAAUCCAGAGACAAAUUUGAUAUUGUUUAUAAAAACUGUGUACGGAAUUCAAAUAAUUAAUAAUUAACUUUUACUAUGAAAUACAGCGCACACUAACGAUGACCUUUCUAUGCAAAUAGCUCUGCUAAUUUUAAUAUCCUGACACUUGAGACUCUGAACUAUUCUCGUAACAACAUUGUCUUCUGCUCAAGGAUUAUACAUUUUUAUAAUAACAAAUAUGCAAAUUUUAGGCAUCUGAAUCUCAGGCUUGACAAAUUUUACAAUUAAACAAUAAAAUGUACUUUCUCCUUUGAAUGAACAUAGUUACAUUUCAUAACCCAAAAAUUCGGAGUAACUCAAGUGCGCCCUCUAUUUGCCAAAGAACAGAACUGACGAACUCAGCAAAAGAAUUGGAACAAUUAAAAGUCAGCAGCAGGCAAAGAUGCCACCGACUUCAGUGAGAAUAUCGCCUCAGGAGGGAUUUCAGGAUCUGAUUUUAGCCUGGUUACUAAUUUAGGAAAACCCGAUAUUAAAGCGGUAACUCUAGAAAGUCAACACAAGCAAAAAAACCAAGUCACUUUGAGUUUUUUUGGCACAGAACUCCGAAGAACUAGUCUUUCAUGUUUCUUUAAUGGGUCACCAAAUGGGAGAAGUUAAGGAUGGAGUGAAAGAUCUAUUUUCGAAAUUCUUGAUUUUUAUCAAUUUAAAUCACGUUUUGUUUUUGUUUUUUUUUAACUAAAAAGAAAAUUGGGUUAGACACCUGAUACCACAAUUGCCCCCAAGGCAAUGGUUAAAGUCCAGCUUUGUACAGAAUACAUCAUUCCUAUGUGGUGUCACUAUGAUGAUAUUGUGGAUACAACCUAAAAGGCUUGAAUCAUGCCCAAGGGAGAAUCAGCUCUUUGUCACUGGCACAACUACAGGAUACAGUGAUGAGAAAAGACACUGUCAACAUGGUUAGUUUAAUAUAUAAUUAGGUUCUCUUGAUAACUUUUCCAUGUGCAUUUGCUAGGAAUUACAAAGACAGUCAUAGGUAACUUAACAGGGUAGUUUGUACAGAUAAAGCAUUUCUG